This 357-nucleotide ribosomal RNA is filed under the name uncultured bacterium. RNAcentral's name for it is "bacterial SSU rRNA". It matches the Rfam family "Bacterial small subunit ribosomal RNA", at positions 156 to 507 of the family's 1533-position model. The record is from RNAcentral.
AGGAGUGCUAAUACCCGGUAUGGCGCAGCGGUCUUCGGAUCGCGGCGAGAAAGACCCGCAAGGGUUGCCAGAGGACGAGCCUGCGGCCCAUCAGCUAGUUGGCGAGGUAACGGCUCACCAAGGCGAAGACGGGUAGCUGGUCUGAGAGGAUGAUCAGCCACACUGGAACUGAGACACGGUCCAGACUCCUACGGGAGGCAGCAGUGGGGAAUAUUGCGCAAUGGGCGAAAGCCUGACGCGGCCACGCCGCGUGAGCGAUGAAGGCCUUCGGUCGUAAAGCUCUGUGGGAGAGAAGAAUAAAGCUGUGAAGAGCAGGCCUUGACGGUAUCUCCUUAGCAAGCACCGGCUAACUCCGUG